GUGUUGAAAAACUUGUAAUUAUAUGACAUUUCCAUUGGAACACUGGAAAAGGUAUGACAAAUGUGUAAUCUGAAGAUUCGUUUUAGUGUCAAUAGUUUCACUUUUAGUCACCAGUGACACCAACAACUGUAACAGCAAUCUACUGGACUGCAUUUAGUUCAUCUUCUGAGUGUAGGGCUACUAGAAUGAAGUUAUUUUAACCUCAGACUUUUUUAUGCAUAUAUUCACAUGGCACAAGCACAUACUGCUGUAGUGUUGUUGCUGUGGGUCUUAGGACAGCAAGUUGUGUGUUUACAAUGUUCAUAUAUUUAAAAAAAAACAUGCCUUGUUUGAAGAAUGAUUCUUUAUUGAGAUGGGUUCCAUGCUGUAUACAGUACCUUGAUUUCUUCCCAUGAAUCUAUCCCUAUGAUAAACACAUGGCGUAUGGUAUGGUAUGGGUUGAUAUGGGUUGUAUGUGUAUGGUAUGGUAUGGUAUGGUAUGGGUUGUAUGUGUAUGGUAUGGUAUGGGUUGUAUGUGUAUGGUAUGGUAUGGAAUGGAAUGGUAUGGUAUGGUAUGGGUUGGUAUGGGUUGUAUGUGUAUGGUAUAGUAUGGUAUGGUAUGGUAUGGGUUGAAUGUGUAUGGUAUGGUAUGGGUUGUAUGUGUAUGGUAUGCUAUAGUAUGGUAUGGUAUGCUAUGGUAUGGGUUGGUAUGGGUUGUAUGUGUAUGGUAUAGUAUGGUAUGGUAUGGGCCAUAUGUGUAUGGUAUGGUAUGGUAUGGUAUGGUAUGGUAUGGUAUGGUAUGGUAUGGGUUGAAUGUGUAUGGCAUGGUAUGGUAUGGUAUGGGUUGUAUGUGUAUGGUAUGGUAUGGUAUGGGUUGUAUGUGUAUGGUAUGGUAUGGUAUGGGUUGUAUGUGUAUGGUAUGGUAUGGUAUGGGUUGAAUGUGUAUGGUAUGGUAUGGGUUGUAUGUGUAUGGUAUGGUAUGGUAUGGGUUGAAUGUGUAUGGUAUGGGCCAUAUGUGUAUGGUAUGGUAUGGUAUGGUAUGGGUUGUAUGGGUAUGGUAUGGUAUGGGUUGAAUGUGUAUGGUAUGGUAUGGGUUGUAUGUGUAUGGUAUGGUAUGGUAUGGUAUGGUAUGGGUUGUAUGGUAUGGAAUGGUAUGGUAUGGGUUGUGUGUGUAUGUGUAUGGUAUGGUAUGGGUUGUGUGUGUAUGGUAUGGUAUGGUAUGAACUCCAAUUUGAGCAGCAGCAGCUGAAAAAUGAGCUCCUACAAAUAUUGAAAUUUACAUGGUUUUUAGAGUGAAGUACAUCGGAAAAAAGCAAAAGAAAACUGCAAUACUGAAUAGGAGAAAAAACAAGCAAC
RNAcentral lists this long non-coding RNA (1335 nucleotides) under Salmo salar (Atlantic salmon). Its description in RNAcentral is "lncRNA (ENSSSAG00000095806.1)". The record is from RNAcentral. Lineage: Eukaryota; Metazoa; Chordata; Actinopteri; Salmoniformes; Salmonidae.